UUUUUCUGCUGUGUGUGGGUAUAAUUCUGAUUGUUAUAGCUGUCCUCAUGUACACAUUCAAAAGAAACAACAAUGAUCAUCACAAAGCACUUGUCCAGCAGAAAAACUUUUGUGGUCAGAAAACACAACAGAAUAAGGACACAUGGAUGUUUUCUGCUGUUGUCUUUACCAUGAUAGAAGCUGACAGGUGCGAAAUGAAAGAGUCAAAGGUGGAGAAGCAUGAAAUCUACAAAGCUGUGAAGACCUUUGGCCUUGAAUAGGUGAUCAAAAGCAUGACUGCUUAU
Maylandia zebra (zebra mbuna) is the source of this 284-nucleotide non-coding RNA. Lineage: Eukaryota; Metazoa; Chordata; Actinopteri; Cichliformes; Cichlidae. The record is from RefSeq and is a predicted model, not a curated record.